CGGGUUGUAAACCUCUUUCAGUAGGGAAGAAGCGAAAGUGACGGUACCUGCAGAAGAAGCGCCGGCUAACUACGUGCCAGCAGCCGCGGUAAUACGUAGGGCGCAAGCGUUAUCCGGAAUUAUUGGGCGUAAAGAGCUCGUAGGCGGUUUGUCGCGUCUGCCGUGAAAGUCCGGGGCUCAACUCCGGAUCUGCGGUGGGUACGGGCAGACUAGAGUGAUGUAGGGGAGACUGGAAUUCCUGGUGUAGCGGUGAAAUGCGCAGAUAUCAGGAGGAACACCGAUGGCGAAGGCGGGUCUCUGGGCAUUUACUGACGCUGAGGAGCGAAAGCAUGGGGAGCGAACAGGAUUAGAUACCCUGGUAGUCCAUGCCGUAAACUUUGGGCACUAGGUGUGGGGGACAUUCCCCGUUUUCCGCGCCCUAUCUAACGCAUUAAGUGCCCCGGCUGGGGAGUACGGGCGCAAGGUUAA
RNAcentral lists this ribosomal RNA (468 nucleotides) under bacterium. RNAcentral describes it as "bacterial SSU rRNA". It matches the Rfam family "Bacterial small subunit ribosomal RNA", at positions 419 to 897 of the family's 1533-position model. The record is from RNAcentral.